GGCGGACGGGUGAGUAAUGUAUGGGGAUCUGCCCAAUGGUGGGGGAUAACUACUGGAAACGGUAGCUAAUACCGCAUAAUCUCUUAGGAGCAAAGCAGGGGAUCUUCGGACCUUGCGCCAUCGGAUGAACCCAUAUGGGAUUAGCUAGUAGGUGAGGUAAUGGCUCACCUAGGCGACGAUCUCUAGCUGGUCUGAGAGGAUGAUCAGCCACACUGGGACUGAGACACGGCCCAGACUCCUACGGGAGGCAGCAGUGGGGAAUAUUGCACAAUGGGCGCAAGCCUGAUGCAGCCAUGCCGCGUGUAUGAAGAAGGCCUUAGGGUUGUAAAGUACUUUCAGUCGGGAGGAAGGCGUUGAAAUUAAUACUUUCAGCGAUUGACGUUACCGACAGAAGAAGCACCGGCUAACUCCGUGCCAGCAGCCGCGGUAAUACGGGGGGUGCAAGCGUUAAUCGGAAUUACUGGGCGUAAAGCGCACGCAGGCGGUUGAUUAAGUUAGAUGUGAAAGCCCCGGGCUUAAC
This 520-nucleotide ribosomal RNA is filed under the name uncultured Moellerella sp. RNAcentral's name for it is "bacterial SSU rRNA". It matches the Rfam family "Bacterial small subunit ribosomal RNA", at positions 97 to 613 of the family's 1533-position model. The record is from RNAcentral. Lineage: Bacteria; Pseudomonadati; Pseudomonadota; Gammaproteobacteria; Enterobacterales; Morganellaceae.